Molecule: ribosomal RNA, 119 nt
Filed under: Antrostomus carolinensis (chuck-will's-widow)
Lineage: Eukaryota; Metazoa; Chordata; Aves; Caprimulgiformes; Caprimulgidae
Source: RNAcentral
CUCUCAGGCCAUACCACCCUGAGAACACCCAAUCUCAUCUGAUCUCAGAAGCUUAGCAGGGUCGAGCCUGAUUAGUACUUGGAUGGGAGACUGCUUGGGAAUACUGGGUGCUGUAGGCA